GGAGCAGUGCGUGGCCGAAUGGUUACGCUGUCCGCUUUGUAAGUGGAUGAUUCUGGGUUCGAUUCCCAUCUUCUCCA
This 77-nucleotide transfer RNA is filed under the name Culex quinquefasciatus (southern house mosquito). RNAcentral describes it as "tRNA-Thr". The record is from RNAcentral. Lineage: Eukaryota; Metazoa; Arthropoda; Insecta; Diptera; Culicidae.